Molecule: small RNA, 119 nt
Filed under: Arabidopsis thaliana (thale cress)
Lineage: Eukaryota; Viridiplantae; Streptophyta; Magnoliopsida; Brassicales; Brassicaceae
Description: ATSL161870
Source: RNAcentral
AGGGUUUAAUUGAUUAACAAUCGUUUUAGAAGCGGAACUUAGUGGCAUAGAAUGAUUUACAAGGUAUUUUAAAAAGGGUUUGCAUUUUUUACAAUCGUUUUUAAAGGGGUAUUCUAAUA